Molecule: ribosomal RNA, 1402 nt
Filed under: uncultured bacterium
Lineage: Bacteria
Description: bacterial SSU rRNA
Rfam family: Bacterial small subunit ribosomal RNA
Source: RNAcentral
AUGCAGUCGAGGGGCAGCGGGGGAGAAAGUUCGCUUUUUCCUGCCGGCGACCGGCGCACGGGUGCGUAACGCGUAUCGAACCUGCCUCGUACUCAGGAACAGGCUCCUGAAAAGGAGAUUAAUGCCUGAUGGUCUCUGGUGUUUACAUGGACAUUAGAGUAAAGAUUUAUCGGUACGAGAUGGCGAUGCGUCCCAUUAGAUAGUAGGCGGGGUAACGGCCCACCUAGUCGACGAUGGGUAGGGGUUCUGAGAGGAAGGUCCCCCACAUUGGAACUGAGACACGGUCCAAACUCCUACGGGAGGCAGCAGUGAGGAAUAUUGGUCAAUGGACGAGAGUCUGAACCAGCCAAGUAGCGUGCAGGAGGACGGCCCUCUGGGUUGUAAACUGCUUUUAGUUGGGAAUAUAAAGGAGCACGUGUGCUCCAUGGAAGGUACCAUCAGAAAAAGGACCGGCUAAUUCCGUGCCAGCAGCCGCGGUAAUACGGAAGGUCCGGGCGUUAACCGGAUUUAUUGGGUUUAAAGGGAGCGCAGGCGGAUGCGUAAGUCAGCUGUGAAAGUUUGAGGCUCAACCUUAAAAUUGCAGUUGAAACUGCGUGUCUUGAGUGCACACAGGGAUGCCGGAAUUCACGGUGUAGCGGUGAAAUGCUUAGAUAUCGUGAAGAACUCCAAUCGCGAAGGCAAGUGUCCGGAGUGCAACUGACGCUGAGGCUCGAAAGUGUGGGUAUCGAACAGGAUUAGAUACCCUGGUAGUCCACACAGUAAACGAUGAAUACUCGCGGUUUGUCCGCUUUAGGAUAAGUCGCCAAGCGAAAGCAUUAAGUAUUCCACCUGGGGAGUACGCCGGCAACGGUGAAACUCAAAGGAAUUGACGGGGGCCCGCACAAGCGGAGGUACAUGUGGUUUAAUUCGACGAUACGCGAGGAACCUUACCCGGGCUUGAACUGUGCAGGAAGGAAGGGAGAGACCCCUUUCGUCUUCGGACCUGCAUGGAGGUGCUGCAUGGUUGUCGUCAGCUCGUGCCGUGAGGUGUCGGCUUAAGUGCCAUAACGAGCGCAACCCUUAUUCUCGUUUGCCAUCGCGUAAUGGCGGGCACUCCGGGGAUACUGCCAUCGUAAGAUGUGAGGAAGGUGGGGAUGACGUCAAAUCAGCACGGCCCUCACGUCCGGGGCUACACACGUGUUACAAUGGGGAGUACAGGGGGCAGCGACCGGGCGACCGGAAGCCAAUCCAUUAAAACUCCUCUCAGUUCGGAUCGGAGUCUGCAACCCGACUCCGUGAAGCUGGAUUCGCUAGUAAUCGCGCAUCAGCCAUGGCGCGGUGAAUACGUUCCCGGGCCUUGUACACACCGCCCGUCAAGCCAUGAAAGCCGGGGGUGCCUGAAAGCCGUGACCGCAAGGGUCGG